Molecule: small RNA, 154 nt
Filed under: pig gut metagenome
Description: Bacteroidales-1 6S-Bacteroidales RNA suggested
Rfam family: Bacteroidales-1 6S-Bacteroidales RNA suggested
Source: RNAcentral
GUCGCACUGGAUUGAUCGGGAUUCUCAUCAAAUAACAAAUCUAACCGAGGUCACUUCAGAUGUUAAUGGCGGGCCGCCCCGAGCGGAUUACAGAGACUCUGAACCCUCAAAUCCUAUCAAAAAGGAGUUUCAUCACAUCACCAGUGCGACUUUU